RNAcentral lists this non-coding RNA (109 nucleotides) under bovine gut metagenome. Its description in RNAcentral is "THF riboswitch". It matches the Rfam family "THF (Tetrahydrofolate) riboswitch aptamer". Rfam says of the family: THF riboswitch presents a pseudoknot that joins P1-P2 and the loop of P3 and two THF binding. The record is from RNAcentral.
CGAAGUAGGAAUUAGCGCGUUAAGUUGUCAGUGGCUGGGGAGUCGCCCUGAACCGAAGAGCCUCAUGAUCUUAUCAUGCAGGCUUGCGAUGCUUUUUCCGCACCCGUUG